RNAcentral lists this ribosomal RNA (497 nucleotides) under uncultured bacterium. Its description in RNAcentral is "partial 16S ribosomal RNA". It matches the Rfam family "Bacterial small subunit ribosomal RNA", at positions 28 to 507 of the family's 1533-position model. The record is from RNAcentral.
GAUGAACGCUGGCGGCGUGCCUAAUACAUGCAAGUCGAGCGAACAGAUGAGGAGCUUGCUCCUCUGACGUUAGCGGCGGACGGGUGAGUAACACGUGGAUAACCUACCUAUAAGACUGGGAUAACUUCGGGAAACCGGAGCUAAUACCGGAUAAUAUAUUGAACCGCAUGGUUCAAUAGUGAAAGACGGUUUUGCUGUCACUUAUAGAUGGAUCCGUGCCGCAUUAGCUAGUUGGUAAGGUAACGGCUUACCAAGGCAACGAUGAGUAGCCGACCUGAGAGGGUGAUCGGCCACACUGGAACUGAGGCACGGUCCAGACUCCUACGGGAGGCAGCAGUAGGGAAUCUUCCGCAAUGGGCGAAAGCCUGACGGAGCAACGCCGCGUGAGUGAUGAAGGUCUUCGGAUCGUAAAACUCUGUUAUUAGGGAAGAACAAAUGUGUAAGUAACUAUGCACGUCUUGACGGUACCUAAUCAGAAAGCCACGGCUAACUACGUG